CUCACCUAACAUUCUACGCUUCUGUAACGAGAGAGUGUGACCUAAGGUGUGGGGACGGCGAACAGACCAGCAAACCAAAAAGAGCGGGUUACACUACAUGGUGGCUCGGAGACUGGUAAUGGAGACUUACAGGCGGAUUCUGGCUCAGAAGCUGUUAAAUCGUGCCCAGGAGAGAAAGCUUUUAGAGAUGGAGCCUUUUUCUAGGCCAACAGAAAUGAGCCAAUGAAGAGGAAGCCAAUGAAAAGGAAAAGUGUGAGAGGAGAAAAUGCAAAUAAGACGCUCUAAUGCCAACUCACACAUCUCUGCCAUGUCGAACUUCAUCCUGCUCUUUGGACUGACGGCGGCGCUGUCUGGCAGACGUGGCCG
Zalophus californianus (California sea lion) is the source of this 366-nucleotide long non-coding RNA. RefSeq lists it as uncharacterized. The transcript is spliced from 3 exons. The record is from RefSeq and is a predicted model, not a curated record. Lineage: Eukaryota; Metazoa; Chordata; Mammalia; Carnivora; Otariidae.